Molecule: non-coding RNA, 72 nt
Organism: Malania oleifera
Lineage: Eukaryota; Viridiplantae; Streptophyta; Magnoliopsida; Santalales; Ximeniaceae
Source: the annotation of a RefSeq genome assembly
UGCUCAGUAGCUCAGUGGUAAAGCGGUCGGCUAUUAACCGACUAAUCGUAGGUUCAAAUCCUACUUGGGGAG